GCCGAAGUGGUGUAAUUGGUAGACACGCCAGAUUCAGGGUCUGGUGGGAGCAAUCCCGUAGGGGUUCGAGUCCCCUCUUCGGCACCA
This 87-nucleotide transfer RNA is filed under the name Nitrospirota bacterium. Its description in RNAcentral is "Nitrospirae bacterium (groundwater metagenome) tRNA-Leu". It matches the Rfam family "tRNA". Rfam says of the family: Transfer RNA (tRNA) molecules are approximately 80 nucleotides in length. Their secondary structure includes four short double-helical elements and three loops (D, anti-codon, and T loops). Further hydrogen bonds mediate the characteristic L-shaped molecular structure. tRNAs have two regions of fundamental functional importance: the anti-codon, which is responsible for specific mRNA codon recognition, and the 3' end, to which the tRNAs corresponding amino acid is attached (by aminoacyl-tRNA synthetases). tRNAs cope with the degeneracy of the genetic code in two manners: having more than one tRNA (with a specific anti-codon) for a particular amino acid; and 'wobble' base-pairing, i.e. permitting non-standard base-pairing at the 3rd anti-codon position. The record is from RNAcentral. Lineage: Bacteria; Pseudomonadati; Nitrospirota.